Molecule: ribosomal RNA, 490 nt
Filed under: uncultured bacterium
Lineage: Bacteria
Description: partial 16S ribosomal RNA
Rfam family: Bacterial small subunit ribosomal RNA
Source: RNAcentral
AGUGAACGCUGGCGGUAGGCCUAACACAUGCAAGUCGAACGGCAGCACAGGAGAGCUUGCUCUCUGGGUGGCGAGUGGCGGACGGGUGAGGAAUACAUCGGAAUCUGCCCAGUCGUGGGGGAUAACGUAGGGAAACUUACGCUAAUACCGCAUACGACCUUCGGGUGAAAGAGGGGGAUCGCAAGACCUCUCGCGAUUGGAUGAGCCGAUGUCGGAUUAGCUAGUUGGCGGGGUAAUGGCCCACCAAGGCGACGAUCCGUAGCUGGUCUGAGAGGAUGAUCAGCCACACUGGAACUGAGGCACGGUCCAGACUCCUACGGGAGGCAGCAGUGGGGAAUAUUGGACAAUGGGCGCAAGCCUGAUCCAGCCAUACCGCGUGGGUGAAGAAGGCCUUCGGGUUGUAAAGCCCUUUUGUUGGGAAAGAAAUCUUUCAGGCUAAUACCCUGGGAGGAUGACGGUACCCAAAGAAUAAGCACCGGCUAACUUCGUG